RNAcentral lists this small nucleolar RNA (121 nucleotides) under Echinops telfairi (small Madagascar hedgehog). RNAcentral's name for it is "Small nucleolar RNA SNORA61 (ENSETEG00000026649.1)". The record is from RNAcentral. Lineage: Eukaryota; Metazoa; Chordata; Mammalia; Afrosoricida; Tenrecidae.
ACCCUCCUGAUUCCUUACUCCUCAGAUCUAAAUAUUGGUCUGAGUGGCUUAAAAAAGAGAAAAUGUAAAGCUGAGGUGGACUUGGAGUCUUUAAUGUCUUACAAGUGUAUUUAAAACAUAA